Molecule: ribosomal RNA, 253 nt
Filed under: uncultured bacterium
Lineage: Bacteria
Description: partial 16S ribosomal RNA
Rfam family: Bacterial small subunit ribosomal RNA
Source: RNAcentral
UACGUAGGGGGCAAGCGUUAUCCGGAUUUACUGGGUGUAAAGGGGGCGCAGACGGCGAUGCAAGCCAGGAGUGAAAGCCCGGGGCCCAACCCCGGGACUGCUCUUGGAACUGCGUGGCUGGAGUGCAGGAGGGGCAGGCGGAAUUCCUGGUGUAGCGGUGAAACGCGUAGAUAUCAGGAGGAACACCGGUGGCGAAGGCGGCCUGCUGGACUGCAACUGACGUUGAGGCCCGAAAGCGUGGGGAGCAAACAGG